This 424-nucleotide ribosomal RNA is filed under the name Verrucomicrobiota bacterium. RNAcentral describes it as "Verrucomicrobia bacterium partial 16S ribosomal RNA". It matches the Rfam family "Bacterial small subunit ribosomal RNA", at positions 355 to 776 of the family's 1533-position model. Lineage: Bacteria; Pseudomonadati; Verrucomicrobiota. The record is from RNAcentral.
UGAGGAAUAUUGGUCAAUGGACGCAAGUCUGAACCAGCCAAGUAGCGUGCAGGAUGACGGCCCUAUGGGUUGUAAACUGCUUUUAUACGGGGAUAAAGUUAGGGACGUGUCCCUAUUUGCAGGUACCGUAUGAAUAAGGACCGGCUAAUUCCGUGCCAGCAGCCGCGGUAAUACGGAAGGUCCGGGCGUUAUCCGGAUUUAUUGGGUUUAAAGGGAGCGUAGGCCGUAGAUUAAGUGUGUUGUGAAAUGUAGACGCUCAACGUCUGACUUGCAGCGCAUACUGGUUUACUUGAGUUUGCACAACGUUGGCGGAAUUCGUCGUGUAGCGGUGAAAUGCUUAGAUAUGACGAAGAACUCCGAUUGCGAAGGCAGCUUGCGGGAGCAAAACUGACGCUGAAGCUCGAAAGUGCGGGUAUCGAACAGG